UUCUGUUAUGGCUUUAUUGAAGGAGAUGCAAGAAGAGGAGAUUUUUUAGGAAAGAAAAACUAGGGUUCAUCUUCAAGGAAUAGGGAUGAAAUCCAAUUUGAGAAAAUCCUAAAACCCAAAGGUAAAAUAGAUAUGCUGUAGGUAGGUACAAUUUAACCCAUGUUUUGUAGUUUGAUGAAAUAGUUCAUUGAUUUCUUAUCUCUGCAUUUCUUAUGUUGCUUAUUUUUUCAAAACCAUAGAUUAAAAGUAUAGUGAUUUGAUUAAGUUUUGAUUUUAACCUUAUGUUUAACCCUCAAAUUUUAAGCUGUUCAUUUGCAAUGUUUAUUGUCCUAUUACUACAGGCUAUAGGCAAAUGAGAAAAAAGGGCAUAUACCUUAUCAAACUCAAAAGACUAUUAGCAACAACUAAAGGGCAUAAUCCCUUAAAUGAUUUUUGGCAUCGAGUGCUAGGAUGAAAUCCAUUGCAAAGGUAUUCUCUAUUUCCUUACUUAUUUUGGGGCGAGCUUAUUGGAAAUGUUUGAAAAUCAAUUUUCAUUGGCUAGAUAUUUGUUACCCCUGUAAAUGUCCCAAUAAAUUCAGAUUCAAGUUGCUUAUGCAGUUUUGGCUACGUAAGAAAUUCUUAUAAUAAUAACUAUAAUAUGUUUCAAGUACCAGUUUUAAUCCUUUUUAAUUACUAUUCUUUUAUUAAAAAGAAGGCAUUGUAAACGUUUUAGAAUUUAUAGAAUCUCAUGUUCAUCCAUGAUUUUGAUGAAAUUACUGUAAAACAACAACUGUUGUGAAUUUCUAUUGUAAGUACUAUAAUUAAGUGACAACAGUGUCAUAAUGGAGGUAUGAGGCUAAUUAAGAAGCUUCUAGGAUUGCAGAUUUGACAACUUUAUGUUACAUUUACCAUA
This 892-nucleotide long non-coding RNA is filed under the name Trifolium pratense (red clover). RNAcentral describes it as "long non-coding RNA (TPRA_LNC005598)". Lineage: Eukaryota; Viridiplantae; Streptophyta; Magnoliopsida; Fabales; Fabaceae. The record is from RNAcentral.